Long non-coding RNA from Etheostoma spectabile (orangethroat darter), 331 nucleotides. RefSeq lists it as uncharacterized. The transcript has 3 exons. NCBI's taxonomy places the organism in Eukaryota, Metazoa, Chordata, Actinopteri, Perciformes, Percidae. The record is from RefSeq and is a predicted model, not a curated record.
CAGUUCUAUAUCAUACUGUUGUGCAACGGCAGAGCUGUCUUGAUCAACUAAUUGAUGGCUUGUCCCACUAUGGAGUUUUAUCACUCUUGAGAGAGAACCCCAGCUUGCGUGUGCUGCUUGACAUACCAGGAGAGGACAAAGGUCAAGAAGCUGAUUUUGUAGCUGGUAUUCUCAAACCAAGCUACUCUGCACUGGGGAGCAACAGAAGAGCUAAAGAGGAGUUGAUGAUGGUCAAAUUUAGGGAGUUUCUACAAUGUGUUGAAAGUAAAGAGCUGAGAGACACAUAUGGGGACAGGACUCUAACAAACGAUGAGGAGCAUUCCUGAAGACU